RNAcentral lists this ribosomal RNA (454 nucleotides) under uncultured bacterium. Its description in RNAcentral is "partial 16S ribosomal RNA". It matches the Rfam family "Bacterial small subunit ribosomal RNA", at positions 28 to 507 of the family's 1533-position model. The record is from RNAcentral.
GAUGAACGCUGACAGAAUGCUUAACACAUGCAAGUCUACUUGAACUUCGGUUUGGGUGGCGGACGGGUGAGUAACGCGUAAAGAACUUACCUCACAGUUAGGGACAACAUUUGGAAACGAAUGCUAAUACCUGAUAUUAUGAUUUUAGGGCAUCCUAAGAUUAUGAAAGCUAUAUGCGCUGUGAGAGAGCUUUGCGUCCCAUUAGCUAGUUGGAGAGGUAACGGCUCACCAAGGCGAUGAUGGGUAGCCGGCCUGAGAGGGUGAACGGCCACAAGGGGACUGAGACACGGCCCUUACUACUACGGGAGGCAGCAGUGGGGAAUAUUGGACAAUGGACCAAAAGUCUGAUCCAGCAAUUCUGUGUGCACGAUGACGUUUUUCGGAAUGUAAAGUGCUUUCAGUUGGGAAGAAAAAAAUGACGGUACCAACAGAAGAAGUGACGGCUAAAUACGUG